This 73-nucleotide transfer RNA is filed under the name Caldifarciminota bacterium. Its description in RNAcentral is "tRNA-Asn". It matches the Rfam family "tRNA". From Rfam's summary of the family: Transfer RNA (tRNA) molecules are approximately 80 nucleotides in length. RNAcentral also lists the same sequence under 2 other names. Lineage: Bacteria; Pseudomonadati; Caldifarciminota. The record is from RNAcentral.
UCCCCGGUAGCUCAAUCGGUAGAGCGGCGGGCUGUUAACCCGACGGUUGGGAGUUCGAGUCUCCCCCGGGGAG